This 4105-nucleotide long non-coding RNA is filed under the name Arabidopsis lyrata. RNAcentral describes it as "long non-coding RNA (ALYR_LNC001888)". The record is from RNAcentral. Lineage: Eukaryota; Viridiplantae; Streptophyta; Magnoliopsida; Brassicales; Brassicaceae.
GAAUAUGUUGACACGAGAGAAGAACUUAUGGCCAUGAUGCGUCCUGCGACACCAUUGCUAGCCAUGUGUAAAGCUCGUCCCAUUGUCCAUAAGAUUCUUAAUGCUUUUGCUUGAAGUGUAACUAAAAAAAUAUGUACUAAAAAAAUUAUCAUGUCAAAAAAUCAAAUAGACAAACAUAUAACUUAUACAAAUUUCUAAAUUUUAAUAACUCGAAUUAAUUUUUUUUUUUUUUUGAGAAAUAUAGAGACUGACCGUUUACUAGGUCAGUUUUGGAGAGCCAUAGGUAAAGAGAUUAGAGAGUGAUGAUUGUUUCACAGGACAAAAGACGAUGACUUAAAAAGUCAACUCCAGUCUUCUCUCUUUUCGUUCCACCAAUAAUUUCAAUUCUCUAUUUCUCUUUUAAUCUCAUCUUCUUCUUCAAUCCAGUCUUCACAUCGACCACACAUGUUUCUUCAUCCAUUGACCUCAAAUACUUGACUUUCCCUCUUUCUCCUUCUCUGCAUCAAAGCUAUGGAGAAUUUCUGUUUUCAAAACUCUGUUUCUCUCUUUGUAUCGAUUAUGGUUCUUGUUCUUCUUCCUCGUCUCACUCUUUCUGCUACUUCGACGUACACUCGUCCUGAGAAGUUUUACGUCAACUGUGGAUCGGAUUCUAAUGUCUUUUAUGGUGGUCAGACCUUCGUUGGAGAUAAGAACUUCAGUGGUAACUCUGUUUCCUUCACCAAUAGAACUGAAGUCAUCGACAACCAAUCGUCCGUUGUGCCUGAAAUCUACCGGACGGUUAGGAUAUUCAGACGCCCUUCUUCUUACGAGUUCAAACUUGAUUCUCUUGGUCUGCACUUUGUGCGUCUCCAUUUCUCUGUUGUGUUUUCUCGGGCAGAUCUUUUAACUGCUCGGUUCACUGUCUCUGCAAUUUCUGGUUCUAAUCAUCACUUGAAAAGUUUCCCGCUUCAGAAUUUCACUGAGACCCCAAGAGUUGAAGAGUUUCUCCUGAUGAUGGACUCGCUGGAGUUCGAAAUUCGAUUAGUGCCGGAUCAUUCCUCUUUGGCUUUCGUCAACGCCAUUGAAGUGUUCCCUGCUCCUAAUGACCUCGAAAUUCAGCCAGAUUUCGACAAGAAUCUGCAUAUGAUUUACAGAUUAAACGUAGGAGGUGAGAAAAUCACACCGGAUAAUGAUACCUUGGGACGAACUUGGUCGCCUGAUGAUGAAGACUUUCUCUACCGAAAAGAUUCUGCGAGGAACAUUAAUUCAACACAAACGCCUAACUACAAUACAGCAGGGUCACUGUCAGCCACGGAAUUCACUGCUCCUGCUUUCGUCUACAAGACAGCUAAAGCAAUGAACCGCAGCUCGAAUGAGCGGGUGGGGAUGUUGACGAAUGUUACAUGGUCGUUCAAGGUCAAAAGUAACUAUAGACACUUCAUCAGGAUUCAUUUCUCUGAUAUUUUAAGUAACUUCUCAAACUCCGACUCCGAUUUCUAUCUCUAUGUAAAUGGGUACUGGCGAGUAGAUGUAAAGCCUUCAGAGCAGCCUAAGUUGGCAACUCCGUUUUUUAUCGAUGUCGUGAAUGUCUCUGAUGGUUCUGGACUCUUGAAUAUUAGUAUAGGUACUAAGGAGGCCGAUAAAGAUGCUGGUUUUCUGAAUGGUCUGGAGAUGAUGGAGUUUUUGAUUAAAUCUGGUUCUGAUUCUUCAAAUAGAAGCAGUUCCCGGGUUCAUAUCAUCGCUGGUUGUGUUUCUGCUGCUGCAUCGGCUCUGGUCUUGAGUUUGUUGUUUAUGGUAUUCUUGAAGCGGAGGAGAUCGAAGAAGACUAAGCCAGACGUUGAAGGCACUGUAUGGUCUCCUUUGCCAUUGCACAGAGGUGGAAGUUCAGACAAUAGACCUAUCUCACAAUACCACAACUCGCCAUUACGCAACCUACACUUAGGCUUAACGAUUCCCUUCACAGACAUUCUGAGCGCUACAAACAAUUUCGACGAGGAGUUGUUGAUCGGGAAAGGCGGGUUCGGAGAUGUUUACAAAGCUAUUCUUCCUGAUGGAACCAAAGCCGCUAUCAAAAGAGGCAAAACCGGCUCAGGACAAGGCAUCUUAGAGUUUCAAACCGAGAUUCAAGUCCUCUCAAGAAUCCGGCACAAACACCUCGUCUCUCUAACGGGCUACUGCGAAGAAAACUCGGAAAUGAUCCUCGUCUACGAGUUUAUGGAGAAAGGUACACUUAAAGAACAUCUAUACGGCUCGAAUCUACCUCCCUUGUCAUGGAAACAAAGACUAGAGAUCUGCAUUGGAGCAGCUAGAGGUUUACAUUAUCUCCACAGUUGCGCAGAAGGAGUAAUCAUACACAGAGACGUCAAAUCCACAAACAUACUACUAGACGAGAACACUAUAGCCAAAGUCGCCGAUUUCGGACUCUCGAAACUCACGAUUCGUAAUCAAGAUCCAACUAAUAUCAGCCUAAACAUCAAAGGAACAUUCGGUUACUUAGAUCCAGAGUAUCUCCAAACACAUAUCUUAACAGAGAAAUCUGACGUUUACGCAUUCGGAGUCGUCCUCCUCGAGGUUUUGUUAGCGAGACCAGCUCUAGAUUGUACUCUACGUUACGAAGAAGCGAAUCUAGCGGAAUGGGCGUUGUUCUGCAAAUCAGAAGGUAAAAUCGAUGAGAUCUUAGAUCCGAGUUUGAUAGGUCAAAUUGAGACGAAUUCUUUGAAGAAAUUCAUGGAGAUUGCUGAGAAAUGUUUGAAAGAGUGUGGAGAUGAGAGACCGAGUAUGGGAGAUGUGAUUUGGGAUCUUGAGUAUGUUCUUCAGCUUCAGAUGAUGACGAUUCGUAGAGAAGCUCAUGAAGAAGAUAGUACGGCGAUUGUCUCCUCUGGUGGUUCGUUGGUGGCUCCGAGGUUGAUGGUGAGUGAUUCGUUUAGCACGAACUCGUUUGUUCAGAAGGAUGAUGAAUCGAAGAACAGAUUUGGAUUUACGGAUUCGUCGGAGACUCGAGUUUUUUCGCAGUUGAAGAUCUCUGACGCAAGAUGAUAAAAUCAUUUUCAAUUGUGUGUAAAAUUAUAAAUUUCUUGAAAUGUGUCUCUGGUUCAAUUUCAAAAUUUAAAAGCCGGUUAUUUCCGGUUUAUAGAUAAUCGGAAAUAUGGAGAAUUGGAGACGUUUUCCAAGUUCACCAAAUAUUACAUUUUGGAUGUAAACAUUAUUCCGACUUGGUUGGGAUAAACUGACGAAACUUGAAAUUUAAAACUGUGGCUAUAACUUUGUCAUUUAAAAAAAAAAGAAGAUAGAAAUACAUGACAAUAUAACUAUACAUAUUAAGUAUCAUCCAAAAAAAAAAAAACAUCAUCCAUCAAAAAUUUAUAAAUUAGCGAUUUAAAUAUACUUGGAUCAUAAAAAAAUAUAAUUCGAUAAGACUAAUCAAAUUUGAAUACCAUAAAGUCAUUAAACGAAUCAUGUAACAAUAAUUCGACAAAAUGAAAAUAUAUCACGUAAAAGAAUAAUCACAUGUAUCGGGAAAAAUAAAAAUAAAAAAUCAAUCAAACUAAUAUAUAUGUCAAACCGUGUAAUAUGGACUUUGGGACACCUUGAGUAAAUAUUAGAGAGUGAUGUUUCUUCCUUAUUAUUCAAACCAAUAAUUUCAAUUCUCUAUUUUUCCUUCAAUCUCCUCUUCUUCCAUCCUCUUCACAUAAACCACAAAUGUUUCUUAAUCAAUUGACCUCAAAUACUUGACUUUCAUUAUUUACUCCUCUCUCUCCCGUCUAAGCUAUGGAGAAUCUCUGUUUUUUGAACGUUGUUUCUCUCUUUGUGAUGAUGGUGGUUAUUGUUCUUCUUCCUCAGCUCACUCUUUCUGCAUCAUCUACAUAUCCUCGUCCCGAGAAGUUUUAUGUCAACUGUGAGUCGCGGUCUAAUGUCACAUAUGGUGGUCGGACUUUCGUUGGAGAUAUGACCUUGGGUGGUAACUACGUUUUCUUCACCAGUGAAGGAACUGAAGCCAUCAACCAAUUUGUUUUGUGUUGCUCAAUUUCCAUAACUUAGCUGAAUUCUUGUACUCAAAGAUCUUGUAUAGCUGGCUAUGCUACUUGGGAUGGCGGAUCCGAAUUUAUUUUAUGAAUGUUGAUAUAUU